AUUGAACGCUGGCGGCAGGCCUAACACAUGCAAGUCGAGCGGAAGAAGGGAGCUUGCUCCUGGAUUCAGCGGCGGACGGGUGUGUAAUGCCUAUGAAUCUGCCUCGUAGUGGGGGAUAACGUCCGGAAACGGGCGCUAAUACCGCAUACGUCCUGAGGGAGAAGGUGGGGGAUCUUCGGACCUCACGCUCUCAGAUGAGCCUAGGUCGGAUUAGCUAGUUGGUGGGGUAAAGGCCUACCAAGGCGACGAUCCGUAACUGGUCUGAGAGGAUGAUCAGUCACACUGGAACUGAGACACGGUCCAGACUCCUACGGGAGGCAGCAGUGGGGAAUAUUGGACAAUGGGCGAAAGCCUGAUCCAGCCAUGCCGCGUGUGUGAAGAAGGUCUUCGGAUUGUAAAGCACUUUAAGUUGGGAGGAAGGGCAGUAAGUUAAUACCUUGCUGUUUUGACGUUACCAACAGAAUAAGCACCGGCUAACUUCGUG
This 484-nucleotide ribosomal RNA is filed under the name uncultured bacterium. RNAcentral's name for it is "partial 16S ribosomal RNA". It matches the Rfam family "Bacterial small subunit ribosomal RNA", at positions 30 to 507 of the family's 1533-position model. The record is from RNAcentral.